CAAUAGCGUAUAUUAAAGUUGUUGCGGUAAAAAAGCUCGUAGUUGGACUUCUGUUGAGAGAUACCGGUCCAUGCAACGCAUGCGUAUUUGGUAAGUCUCGGCAUCCUCUCGAAAAACUUCUUUGCGCUUGAUUGCGUGAAAAGAGUUUCGGGACUUUUACUUUGAGGAAAUUAGAGUGUUCACGGCAGGCCAUCGCCAGGAUACAUUAGCAUGGAAUAAUACUAUAGGAUCUUGAUCCUAUUUUGUUGGUUUCUAGGAUUAAGAUAAUGAUUAAUAGGGACAAUUGGGGGCAUUCGUAUCAACACGUCAGAGGUGAAAUUCUUGGAUUGUGUUGCGACGAACUACUGCGAAAGCAUUUGCCAAGGAUGUUUUCAUUAA
This 378-nucleotide ribosomal RNA is filed under the name uncultured eukaryote. RNAcentral's name for it is "partial 18S ribosomal RNA". It matches the Rfam family "Eukaryotic small subunit ribosomal RNA", at positions 592 to 976 of the family's 1831-position model. The record is from RNAcentral.